GAUCAUGGCUCAGGAUGAACGCUAGCGGCAGGCUUAACACAUGCAAGUCGAGGGGCAGCAUAAUGGAUAGCAAUAUCUAUGGUGGCGACCGGCGCACGGGUGCGUAACGCGUAUGCAACCUACCUUUAACAGGGGAGUAACACUGAGAAAUUGGUACUAAUACCCAUAAUAUCAUAGAAGGCAUCUUUUAUUGGUUGUAAAAUUACCGAUGGUUAGAGAUGGGCGAUGCGUUG
Molecule: ribosomal RNA, 233 nt
Filed under: uncultured bacterium
Lineage: Bacteria
Description: partial 16S ribosomal RNA
Rfam family: Bacterial small subunit ribosomal RNA
Source: RNAcentral